UGGGGAAUAUUGCACAAUGGGCGCAAGCCUGAUGCAGCCAUGCCGCGUGUGUGAAGAAGGCCUUCGGGUUGUAAAGCACUUUCAGCGAGGAGGAAGGUGGUGAGCUUAAUACGCUCAUCAAUUGACGUUACUCGCAGAAGAAGCACCGGCUAACUCCGUGCCAGCAGCCGCGGUAAUACGGAGGGUGCAAGCGUUAAUCGGAAUUACUGGGCGUAAAGCGCACGCAGGCGGUUUGUUAAGUCAGAUGUGAAAUCCCCGGGCUCAACCUGGGAACUGCAUUUGAAACUGGCAAGCUAGAGUCUCGUAGAGGGGGGUAGAAUUCCAGGUGUAGCGGUGAAAUGCGUAGAGAUCUGGAGGAAUACCGGUGGCGAAGGCGGCCCCCUGGACGAAGACUGACGCUCAGGUGCGAAAGCGUGGGGCAGCAAACAGGAUUAGAUACCCUGGUAGUCCACGCUGUAAACGAUGUCGAUUUUGGAGUA
Molecule: ribosomal RNA, 479 nt
Filed under: uncultured bacterium
Lineage: Bacteria
Description: partial 16S ribosomal RNA
Rfam family: Bacterial small subunit ribosomal RNA
Source: RNAcentral